RNAcentral lists this unclassified non-coding RNA (355 nucleotides) under soil metagenome. Its description in RNAcentral is "partial contains 5.8S ribosomal RNA, internal transcribed spacer 2, and large subunit ribosomal RNA". The stretch from base 3 to 118 matches the Rfam family "5.8S ribosomal RNA", at positions 39 to 154 of the family's 154-position model. The record is from RNAcentral.
GUAAGAACGCAGCGAAAUGCGAUAAGUAAUGUGAAUUGCAGAAUUCAGUGAAUCAUCGAAUCUUUGAACGCACAUUGCGCCCGCUGGUAUUCCGGCGGGCAUGCCUGUUCGAGCGUCAUUUCAACCCUCAAGCUCUCCGGAGUUUGGUGUUGGGGCGCCUGGGGCUUUUCGACCUCAGGGCCCUCAAGUCCAUCGGCGGGACCGCCAGGACACUGAGCGCAGUAGUAUUAUUUCGCUCGGUAGGAUCUUCCACGGCGGGUCGAUCUGGCCGCUAAACCCCCCAAUUCUCACCAAAGGUUGACCUCGGAUCAGGUAGGAAUACCCGCUGAACUUAAGCAUAUCAAUAAGCGGAGGA